GCCACGUGUGGUGGCGCACACCUGUAAUCCCAGCAGCCCAGGAGGCUGAGGCAGGAGGAUCGCGAGUUCAAAGUCAGCCUCAGCAACUUAGUGAGGCGCUAAGCAACUCAGUGAGACCCUGUCUCCA
This 127-nucleotide small RNA is filed under the name Marmota monax (woodchuck). The record is from RNAcentral. Lineage: Eukaryota; Metazoa; Chordata; Mammalia; Rodentia; Sciuridae.